Long non-coding RNA from Suricata suricatta (meerkat), 235 nucleotides. RefSeq lists it as uncharacterized. The transcript has 2 exons. NCBI's taxonomy places the organism in Eukaryota, Metazoa, Chordata, Mammalia, Carnivora, Herpestidae. The record is from RefSeq and is a predicted model, not a curated record.
UGAGACUGCUCGAGCAACCUGUGGAGAUGCUCACAUGGAGAGGGACUGAGACCCUUCUCCCAAUAGCCACCACCAGCUUGCCAACCAUCCACCUGGAACUCACUUAUUCCAGAGACUGUAUCUAUAACAUGCAGCCUGGAUCCCUGAGUCACUGCAUGGAAGAGAACUUCUUUGGAGAGCUGAUCAACCCAGAGAAGACUGUGCAUGAACCAAAAAUAAACUUUUGUGUAUGAAA